GAUUUCUGGCCUGAAACAUUUUGCCGGCCACGGUUUCGUGUGUUAGUGCUUUGUGUUCUGGCCAUCCUUCCAAUCGCUAUUCAGCUUUCUUCAUUGAUUGUUGAGUGGUAUUGGAUCUUUUACUUUGAAAAAAUUAGAGUGUUUCAAGCAGGCUUUAUGCUAUGAAUACAUUAGCAUGGAAUAAUAAUUUAGGACUUUGCUUCUAUUUUAUUGGUUUCUAGGAGUAAAGUAAUGAUUGAUAGGGAUAGUUGGGGGUGCUAGUAUUCAUCGGCCAGAGGUGAAAUUCUCGGAUUCGCUGAAGACUAACUUAUGCGAAAGCAUU
Molecule: ribosomal RNA, 322 nt
Filed under: Sandonidae sp.
Lineage: Eukaryota; Cercozoa; Glissomonadida; Sandonidae
Description: SSU rRNA
Rfam family: Eukaryotic small subunit ribosomal RNA (bases 113-322)
Source: RNAcentral